AUGGAUCUCUUUCCUCUUCCUUCCCUGAUCCCCAAUCCCAGAGCCUUUCUCUUUCUUCCUUCCUUCCCUCCCUCCCUCCAUCCAUCUCUCUUUCUUUCUUUCUUUCUUUCUUUCUUUCUUUCUUUCUUUCUUUCUUUCUUUCUUUCUUUCUUUCUUUCUCUUCCUUCCUUCCUUCCUUUCUUUCUUUCUUUCUUUCUUUCUUUCUUUCUUUCUUUCUUUCUUUCUUUCUUUCUUUCUUUCUUUCUUUCUUUCUUUCUUUCUUUCUUUCUUUCUUUCUUUCUUUCUUUCUUUCUUUCUUCCUUCCUUCCUUCCUUCCUUCUUUCUCUUCCUCCUCUUUCUUCUUCAUUAAAAACAAAACAACACAAAACAAAAAAAAAAAAACUCCUCAGCUUCUGUCUUAGUAUCAAUCCUGAGACAGAAGAACAGCAAAGGCGAGGCAAUGGGUUAGGUGACUUGUCCAAGAUCACAUAG
This 471-nucleotide long non-coding RNA is filed under the name Monodelphis domestica (gray short-tailed opossum). Its description in RNAcentral is "lncRNA (ENSMODG00000028485.2)". Lineage: Eukaryota; Metazoa; Chordata; Mammalia; Didelphimorphia; Didelphidae. The record is from RNAcentral.